Molecule: transfer RNA, 54 nt
Filed under: Chordodes sp. VVA-2019
Lineage: Eukaryota; Metazoa; Nematomorpha; Gordioida; Chordodea; Chordodidae
Description: tRNA-Arg
Source: RNAcentral
AAAAAUUUUAUGAGCUAAGAUUUCGACUCUUUAAAAGAAUUAUUUCCAUUCUUG